GGACAAAAGGACAAAUAAACCGAACGGGCGGAGAGGGCGCGGGAGGAGUGUGCUCUCCGCUUUUGUUCCGCAAUGAGCUCUAAGAGGUAGACAUGAUUGGGGAAAAG
Caenorhabditis elegans is the source of this 107-nucleotide non-coding RNA. The record is from Ensembl. NCBI's taxonomy places the organism in Eukaryota, Metazoa, Nematoda, Chromadorea, Rhabditida, Rhabditidae.